Molecule: ribosomal RNA, 443 nt
Filed under: uncultured bacterium
Lineage: Bacteria
Description: partial 16S ribosomal RNA
Rfam family: Bacterial small subunit ribosomal RNA
Source: RNAcentral
CCUACGGGUGGCAGCAGUGGGGAAUAUUGGACAAUGGGGGGAACCCUGAUCCAGCGACGCCGCGUGAGUGAAGAAGUCUUUCGGUAUGUAAAGCUCUAUCAGCAGGGAAGAAAGAAAUGACGGUACCUGACUAAGACGCACCGGCUAACUACGUGCCAGCAGCCGCGGUAAUACGUGGGGGGCAAGCGUUAUCCGGAUUUACUGGGUGGAAAGGGAGCGUAGACGGUUACGCAAGUCUGGAGGGAAAGGCGGGGGCCCAACCCCCGGACUGCUUUGGAAACUGUAUAACUGGAGUGCAGGAGAGGUAAGUGGAAUUCCGAGUGUAGCGGUGAAAUGCGGAGAUAUUAGGAGGAACACCAGUGGCGAAGGCGGCUUACUGGACUGUAACUGACGUUGAGGCUCGAAAGCGUGGGGAGCAAACAGGAUUAGAUACCCUGGUAGUC